This 312-nucleotide long non-coding RNA is filed under the name Homo sapiens (human). Its description in RNAcentral is "HSALNT0385594". Lineage: Eukaryota; Metazoa; Chordata; Mammalia; Primates; Hominidae. The record is from RNAcentral.
CAAGCAAAUUCCACAAAAAGACUGUUUCAAAUCUGCUCUGUCUAAAGGAAGGUUGAACUCUGUGAGUUGCAUACACACAACAAAAAGAAGUUACUCAGAAAUCUUCUGUCUAGCAUAAUAUGAAGAAAUCCCGUUUCCAACGAAGGCUUUAAAGAGGUCCGAAUAUCCACUGGCAGGCUUCACAAACAGAGUGUUUCGUAACUGCUCUAUGAAAAGAAAGGUUAAACUCUGUGAGUUGAACGCACACAUCACAAAACAGUUUCUGAUAAUCAUUCCGUCUAGUUUUUAUACGAAGAUAUUUCCUUUUCUACC